This 1858-nucleotide ribosomal RNA is filed under the name Escherichia coli. RNAcentral describes it as "partial 23S ribosomal RNA". It matches the Rfam family "Bacterial large subunit ribosomal RNA", at positions 1 to 1875 of the family's 2925-position model. Lineage: Bacteria; Pseudomonadati; Pseudomonadota; Gammaproteobacteria; Enterobacterales; Enterobacteriaceae. The record is from RNAcentral.
GGGUUGUGAGGUUAAGCGACUAAGCGUACACGGUGGAUGCCCUGGCAGUCAGAGGCGAUGAAGGACGUGCUAAUCUGCGAUAAGCGUCGGUAAGGUGAUAUGAACCGUUAUAACCGGCGAUUUCCGAAUGGGGAAACCCAGUGUGAUUCGUCACACUAUCAUUAACUGAAUCCAUAGGUUAAUGAGGCGAACCGGGGGAACUGAAACAUCUAAGUACCCCGAGGAAAAGAAAUCAACCGAGAUUCCCCCAGUAGCGGCGAGCGAACGGGGAGCAGCCCAGAGCCUGAAUCAGUGUGUGUGUUAGUGGAAGCGUCUGGAAAGGCGCGCGAUACAGGGUGACAGCCCCGUACACAAAAAUGCACAUGCUGUGAGCUCGAUGAGUAGGGCGGGACACGUGGUAUCCUGUCUGAAUAUGGGGGGACCAUCCUCCAAGGCUAAAUACUCCUGACUGACCGAUAGUGAACCAGUACCGUGAGGGAAAGGCGAAAAGAACCCCGGCGAGGGGAGUGAAAAAGAACCUGAAACCGUGUACGUACAAGCAGUGGGAGCACGCUUAGGCGUGUGACUGCGUACCUUUUGUAUAAUGGGUCAGCGACUUAUAUUCUGUAGCAAGGUUAACCGAAUAGGGGAGCCGAAGGGAAACCGAGUCUUAACUGGGCGUUAAGUUGCAGGGUAUAGACCCGAAACCCGGUGAUCUAGCCAUGGGCAGGUUGAAGGUUGGGUAACACUAACUGGAGGACCGAACCGACUAAUGUUGAAAAAUUAGCGGAUGACUUGUGGCUGGGGGUGAAAGGCCAAUCAAACCGGGAGAUAGCUGGUUCUCCCCGAAAGCUAUUUAGGUAGCGCCUCGUGAAUUCAUCUCCGGGGGUAGAGCACUGUUUCGGCAAGGGGGUCAUCCCGACUUACCAACCCGAUGCAAACUACGAAUACCGGAGAAUGUUAUCACGGGAGACACACGGCGGGUGCUAACGUCCGUCGUGAAGAGGGAAACAACCCAGACCGCCAGCUAAGGUCCCAAAGUCAUGGUUAAGUGGGAAACGAUGUGGGAAGGCCCAGACAGCCAGGAUGUUGGCUUAGAAGCAGCCAUCAUUUAAAGAAAGCGUAAUAGCUCACUGGUCGAGUCGGCCUGCGCGGAAGAUGUAACGGGGCUAAACCAUGCACCGAAGCUGCGGCAGCGACGCUUAUGCGUUGUUGGGUAGGGGAGCGUUCUGUAAGCCUGCGAAGGUGUGCUGUGAGGCAUGCUGGAGGUAUCAGAAGUGCGAAUGCUGACAUAAGUAACGAUAAAGCGGGUGAAAAGCCCGCUCGCCGGAAGACCAAGGGUUCCUGUCCAACGUUAAUCGGGGCAGGGUGAGUCGACCCCUAAGGCGAGGCCGAAAGGCGUAGUCGAUGGGAAACAGGUUAAUAUUCCUGUACUUGGUGUUACUGCGAAGGGGGGACGGAGAAGGCUAUGUUGGCCGGGCGACGGUUGUCCCGGUUUAAGCGUGUAGGCUGGUUUUCCAGGCAAAUCCGGAAAAUCAAGGCUGAGGCGUGAUGACGAGGCACUACGGUGCUGAAGCAACAAAUGCCCUGCUUCCAGGAAAAGCCUCUAAGCAUCAGGUAACAUCAAAUCGUACCCCAAACCGACACAGGUGGUCAGGUAGAGAAUACCAAGGCGCUUGAGAGAACUCGGGUGAAGGAACUAGGCAAAAUGGUGCCGUAACUUCGGGAGAAGGCACGCUGAUAUGUAGGUGAAGUCCCUCGCGGAUGGAGCUGAAAUCAGUCGAAGAUACCAGCUGGCUGCAACUGUUUAUUAAAAACACAGCACUGUGCAAACACGAAAGUGGACGUAUACGGUGUGACGCCUGCCCGGUGCCGGAAG